RNAcentral lists this long non-coding RNA (1214 nucleotides) under Zonotrichia albicollis (white-throated sparrow). RNAcentral describes it as "lncRNA (ENSZALG00000008926.1)". The record is from RNAcentral. Lineage: Eukaryota; Metazoa; Chordata; Aves; Passeriformes; Passerellidae.
CUACUGCACAUUCCCUUCUGCCAUCCCUAUUAUAUGUUUAUUUCUAUAAUUCCAGGAAAAAGAAAGUGCUAGAUUCUCCAGCAUGAAAAGUUUUGAAACAAAUGGAUUUACACACAAUGGUGCUGUACCAUGACAUUUCUUGUGUUUUAGCACUUGUCUCAUUUCUACUUGACUACAUGAAAGUGAAUGUGCACGCCCUCUUGCAUAUGCUUCAGAAGCACUUGGGAGUCAGAGCCUUGCCCGGCAUGUGGAUGACCUGCUGCAUGACAGAGCUGCGUGGUCACACCUUGCCAUCCCAUAGCCUGAGGUUCUUGCCAGCAAAGUGCAGUUACAAGAAUUCAAGGUACUGAACGGGUAGGAAACAGCCUCUUAUAGUACUGUGAGAAGUGUUGACUCACGAGGUUUGUCUGACUCACAUUAAAUAUUUACCGUUAUUGGUUACUUUAAUCGUUCAGCUGUAAUGAAAAGUAUUCCCUGCAGCCACGCCACCCCAGGCUGUGAUCCAGCCAUGCUCCACACCCAAGGCUAUGUCAGCAAGCCAGCAAAUGCUGUCUCCUGCCACCUCCAAAGUGGUGUGGCAAGGACAGCUGUGUAAAAACCAUCUCUACUUCUAUAUAUUCAUGGGAACAGCUGCCACUCCAUGGCCAGCACCUCAUCCAGAAGGAGCAGUUGGGAAAAGGUGCAGCUGAAAGAAUCACAUGCUGAGGGAAACUAAAAAAGGGUUCAGGCCAUUUCUACUAUCAUGGCAAGGAAGAUGCCUUCCCCCAAAGCACAGAACUUUAAUUCAUCACUCUUAAACCAACUGAUCUUCAUUGGACUCCGAGUUUGACAAUCCUCUUGUGGUUUUGGCUCAGCAUCACCUGACUAUACCACCUCUCUAAGGGCAAUGUUUCAAAUCUCCUACUAUUGCAAUCAGACAUUUCAUUCCUCAUGUUACAAAUGUCAAAUAUAGUGUUGCUGUUUACUGCUAGAAAUCAUCAUGUUCAACCCAAAGCUAGAUUUAUUGUACUACUACACAAAAGCAUUCAUAUAUAUAUAAGAAAAAAACCCUAUUCUUCACGCCAAAAAAUGACAUGAACACUAAGACUAAGAAACUUGAGAUGUCCCUCAGCUCUAUUCUUUUAUUCCAACUGCACAUAUAACACACCCAGUUCUUUUUUAUAGCUCUGAAAUUAUGCAAUGUUGCAACAAUAAAGCUUAAUUCAAAAUGAACA